Ictalurus punctatus (channel catfish) is the source of this 2421-nucleotide long non-coding RNA. Lineage: Eukaryota; Metazoa; Chordata; Actinopteri; Siluriformes; Ictaluridae. The record is from Ensembl.
AUUAUUAUUCUUUACAGUAUGUCUUUAAGUGUAACUUUGUAACAGCGCUGUAGUUGACGCACUUUAAGCUCUGUAUAGUACAGAAGUCACUUAUUGUGUGAAUAAAUGGCGUCGUGUAUGUGUUGGAAAGCUGGUAGGGUGCAUUUCAUUGCGUUUACAUGUGUGUAAAACUAGAUAAGUUAGUGCUUAAGGAGUUUUUCUGUUCGCACCACGUGUUCGUGUCUGUGUUACUGAUCAGCUCACCGUUUCCUUCAGAUACCGGAAGUGAUGCCCAGUCCCCCCCCCCCAUAUACAGUACAAAAUUAUUUUCUGUAUGUCCCCAUUUAAUGAACCCUGCCAAGGGGUCUGUCUUUUCUUCGUCUGUUCUAUUUAUUUGUCUAUUCCUUUUUAAUAUUUGUUUAAGGAAAAUCGGUGCCCCCCCCCCCCUCCAGUUGUACACUUGGUUGUGCCCAUACUCAACGCAAGUUCGUUGAUGUAUUUUAGCAGCUCAGUCUGUAAGAAAUGGAGACGGCAGCAAAGUGUAGAAAAGUGCAGCAGAACAUGAGGGGUUUUUUUGGUGUGUUUGGUUUUUUUCCAGACAGUAACUAGAUACCCAAGUAGUAGGUAACCUUAGCUUUGUAUAGAAGGCAUCAUACCAUGGCUUGGUUUCUUCUUAAGAACGUCAAUUAACUGUUGAUAUUUGCACACCCACGAAGUAGGCUAGGCUAAUGUCAGUUCCAGUUUUUGACCAUUAAAGUUACAUCACUUGUAUAUCCUCCCACUGAGUUCAUUGGACCCACCCCCCCCCCCCCCAAAAUGUCUAUACCAUGGUUAUGCCCUUGAUCUAAUAUCUAAUAUUUUAAUGAUCGUGUUUCACUUUGUGUUCACAGAUGGUGCUUUUGUCCACCCCUUCUCCAGGCUGAAUCCUGUGGAUCACCAGAUCACUCUGUGCGAGUGCACUGCUGGUAAGCUGAGUGACCUUCCUGUAGUGGUUGAAUAUGCCUUUACUCCAGCGGCAGUCAGCUGUGCAGGCCUGAACUGUGCCUGAGCUAGUGUUACUCUGCUGGAAAAGAAAGGCACUGCUGUUUAGGCUGUGUUCAGGGCUUGCUGUUUUAGCAGUCUUGUAGCACGGCCGUGGUAGAGUCUUGUCCACUUGAGAGUGGGCUGCUCACUUAAACCCAUGUGGGCCGCCCUAGUCUGUGGGCAAACAUUAACAUGAUGGAAUGGAAUGUUUGUGUUUGGGAAUGAAAGGUGAUCUUAAUCGAGUCGUCUCUUGCAGAUAUGUCGAGUUCCGUAGACACAUGGUCGUGACCUGCUGAAUUGAGUGCAGGCAGAAGGCAUUCCUGGUCUUAAGAGCUGUGGUUCAGCAUGGUGCUGUGCAGUAGGUGCAAGAGGAAUGAGGUGAGGCAUUCCUCCUUGUUCACUUAAAGCCUAAACCCCAAGUUGAUACCAUCAUGAUAAACUGUGUGUUUUCGUGAUGUUUUUUUAACCUUGGGAUAGCAUAUGCAGGACUGGCACAGGUUUUAGUGUGUGCAGUCGAAAAGAACCUGACAAGAAGGCCUGCUACAACUGUUCACUUCAUGCCACUUAAAAAAAAAAAUAAUAAUAAUAAACUGUUUUGGUGAUGUACAUGUGACUUAUUUUGUGUGUACCUGUUGUGUAGGUUAAUGUUGGGGAAGGCUGUUCAUUUUGUGCAAGAUCAAGGAAGACCGACUUGAUGUUUUCCAUGUUUGCAUGUUAAAGACCUGACCCGUUGAAUAAAGUGGAAUUUCAGUGUUAAUGAAUGUCUGUUCAUUUGAAAUUAUUUUGUAGCCUGUGUUCUAUUCAGUUAAUUUUUUCGGAGCAGUGUUUCGCAUUCCUGCUUCUGCAGUAUCCCUGCCCUGUACAUUUGGAGUGGGGGUGGAGUCUGUAAGGGCAAUAUGAGGAAUAUCAGUUUUCAAAUACACUUCUACAAUAUGCCUCAUGAUGUAUAGGGUUGCUCAGAAACUGCUGCCAAAUGCAGUGGUGUUACUCUUUAAUAUAAAUUUGAAUAAAUAUUUUUAUUUGGGAGAAACUAACACAACUUUAAGAGUUUAGAGUACAUUUAAAAAUUGUAAGUGACCCUUAGCUUGUAUCUGUAAACAUCUGUUUAUUUUGAGCAGGUGUGGUGGUCUCUAAUUUUUAUACAUGUAAUGUAAAAAUUUGUGUUAAAAUAAAGCUUAUAACCUAAAUCCUUAUUUCCUGACUGAAAUUGACAGUAAAUGUGUUUUACAUAUUUGGAGAAUUAAAAGCGGUCACUUUAUAGAAUUGAACAGUGCAUAUUGCACACAUUUUAGGCUUGUAUGUUAAAAUAACCUGUUGCUAUAUAACAUGCAUUAUUGCAUCUCAAAAUAAAGGUUGGUUCCUCCAGGUUUGUGCUUAUGGAUUUCACCUGGCAUUGACACUGGCAUUAAUAAGAUCAAG